This 206-nucleotide ribosomal RNA is filed under the name uncultured bacterium. Its description in RNAcentral is "partial 16S ribosomal RNA". It matches the Rfam family "Bacterial small subunit ribosomal RNA", at positions 568 to 774 of the family's 1533-position model. The record is from RNAcentral.
CAUGUAGGCGGAUUGAUAAGUUUGAAGUGAAAUCCUAUAGCUUAACUAUAGAACUGCUUUGAAAACUGUUAAUCUAGAAUGUGGGAGAGGUAGAUGGAAUUUCUGGUGUAGGGGUAAAAUCGUAGAGAUCAGAAGGAAUACCGAUUGCGAAGGCGAUCUACUGGAACAUUAUUGACGCUGAGAUGCGAAAGCGUGGGGAGCAAACA